This 1733-nucleotide long non-coding RNA is filed under the name Mus musculus (house mouse). RNAcentral's name for it is "long non-coding RNA chr14:63664447-63666180". The record is from RNAcentral. Lineage: Eukaryota; Metazoa; Chordata; Mammalia; Rodentia; Muridae.
AGUGGGGUCACAUUGGCCACCUCCUAGAAGCUUCUGAAUAAAACUUUUUGUAGUACUGAGUAGAGAGCAUUGUAGUAUCUCUCAUGGGAAGUUUGUCCCUUGGUACAUCACACUCCACAGAGAACAGAUGAGUGUGAUCCUCAUGUUACUAACAGAGGGAUCUCGGAAGUGGAGCAGUAGCCUGACACUUCCGGGAAAAAGGUAGAGAAACUCCAUGUGGAAGCCAGCUGAACGCUGGGGCUCCUUCACCAGCCCCACAUGGGCGGGCACAUUGGCAUGCAAGGAUGGAUGCCCAGUCUUUGUGGUCCUCAUCACUUGCUCUGACUUUGAUCAGCUCCCUCAGUGAUUGGGACCUCCAACUUGAAGGCUGUCCACUGCACAUAAGUCUGCAGCCACAAGCUGGAAGCCUCUUAGAGAAAGUGGACAGGCUCUGCAAAAUCCAUUCUGCAGGACAAGUGGCAGAAGCAGAGUGUGAGAUACGCUGCAUGGUGUGCCUUUCAUUGAUGACUCUUCAUUCCAUAGUGAGUUGAAUAGUAGUGCCUUGUAAGCACGGACAGAGCAAUAAUUCCCCCUGAAGUCUGCAGAGGUUUUCUUAAGUGUGACCUUUCUUAUGUCAGCAUAUUAAAUUAUUCUUAAAUUAUGUAAUAGUGACUGGAAUUUGGGAUUCUGAUGUGACUUGUAAAUUUGAAGUGCAUUUUCAGGAAAAUUGUCAAGAUUCCCAGGUGACUCCUUUUCAUUCCUUGCAGCCGUUCUGGUAUGUGAUCCUUCUUGAGUUUGUCAGUUGGGAGGAGACACCCUUUGCCUUCUGUUCUGACUCGGUAGCUGCCUCUGGCUUGCACUACUCAAAAUCUCAUUUGUUAGAGGUCCAUUUGGACAGCUCUUGUGGUUUCACAUCCACAAGAAAAGAGGGUCCUGCAUGCCUCAAGUACAUGGCUUCCUGUGGACCAUAAACACAUCAAGUACAAGGGGUUCCAGGACCUGCUGGACUUCUGCUACACUGCCGUGCUCAUCCUUCCUGGGUAACUCCAUCAUGGUUCCUUCCAGCUCCUCAGAGUGGUCCUGCUUGGCUCCUGAGUCCACACAGAAGUAUCAAUACGUAGUUCACCCCUCUUCUUUACCCUCGUUAGGUUGCGUUCUGCUGAUAACAGGAGCUUCGUGUCGCCUUGAUGAGGGACUCAUGCCUGAUGUAUUUCCAUCCUCCUUCCUGAAGAGAAGCAGCGCUUUAGACAUAGGGGCCUUGGCUGUCUGAGGAUUGUCUCUAGAAAGUUCACAGCACUGUGUUCUAAAUGUGGCCUCUCAGUGUGCUGGUCACUGCCAUUGUGGUUGCCAAGGAAAUCUUUCUCAACUGCCAUGCACUGAGCCUCAGAAGCCCAGUGUGCCUCAGGCAUGGGAAGAUCCAGAGUUGACUUAUGAGUAUGGAAGCUUGCUAGGACCUGAAGAGAGCCAGAGACACUCCUGUAGAGAAAGUGUCUGUGUCAGCAAGAUUUGUCCAGAACCGUUGACCAACUUUUUAAACCCACAUGAGCCCGCAUUGAACCUAUGCAGACUAUCCAGUGCAUGUGUAUAAGUCAUCAUUUAAUCUUUUGAAAAGUGGGUUACACUAACCUAAGUUUUUUACAUAUAAAUUUCAGAAGCAAUACAGAUGUGUUUUGUGGAAAGGCUAUAUAUACUGCUUGUAAUAAAUUUCUGACUCUUGCUUAAUAAAAAUUAAAUGGCCCAAUUAUGGAAAACCC